RNAcentral lists this small RNA (722 nucleotides) under Pan troglodytes (chimpanzee). RNAcentral's name for it is "processed transcript". The record is from RNAcentral. Lineage: Eukaryota; Metazoa; Chordata; Mammalia; Primates; Hominidae.
UCUGAAGCAGCAGGUGCAAAUAUACGAAGAAGACUUCAAAAAGGAACGAUCGGAUCGAGAGAGACUUAAUCAAGAGAAAGAGGAGCUACAGCAAAUUAAUGAAACUUCCCAAUCCCAGUUGAACAGGCUGAAUUCCCAGAUAAAAGCUUGUCAGAUGGAGAAAGAAAAACUAGAAAAGCAAUUAAAACAGAUGUAUUGCCCACCCUGUAACUGCGGCUUGGUUUUCCACCUGCAAGAUCCAUGGGUACCAACAGGCCCUGGAGCUGUGCAGAAGCAACGGGAGCACCCACCAGACUAUCAGUGGUAUGCUCUUGACCAGCUUCCGCCAGAUGUACAACACAAGGCAAAUGAUGGUGUCUUGCUCCACCUCCAGUCUGUUGCCAGGCUGGUCUCGAACUCCUGGCCUCAAGUGAUCCUCCUGCCUCUGGCUCCCAAAGUGCUGAAAUUUCAGGUUUAUCCUCAGUAAAGAAAGUCCAUCAGUAGAAGUACACACUAACAGAGAGAGACAACAGGCAACGAGGGAGCGUGGCUGAGGACCCUCUUCUUUGUUUAUACUGAGGCUUGUUUCUGCCACAAAGGCACAUCAUCUACCCUGUUAUUUGUGCCUGGUCAUGUUUUCCUUUGGCAUGAAUACGGGAAAAGGAUUCUGACAGCUAAGAUCCUGAUCAAAUUGGAGGAGCCAGUUAUUAUACAACCAAAUACAACUUCCAGUUUCCUUGAAA